This 854-nucleotide ribosomal RNA is filed under the name uncultured Acidobacteriota bacterium. Its description in RNAcentral is "bacterial SSU rRNA". It matches the Rfam family "Bacterial small subunit ribosomal RNA", at positions 66 to 896 of the family's 1533-position model. Lineage: Bacteria; Pseudomonadati; Acidobacteriota. The record is from RNAcentral.
ACGCGAAAGUCCCCUUCGGGGGAUAAGUAGAGUGGCGUCCGGGUGAGUAACANGNAGGNAAUCUACCUUCGGGUGGGGAAUAACCCAGGGAAACUUGGGCUAAUACCGCAUAAUGCAGCGGCACCACAUGGUGACAGUUGUUAAAGCGGGGGAUCUUCGGAUCUCGCGCCUGAAGAGGAGCCUGCGGCAGAUUAGCUAGUUGGUAAGGUAACGGCUUACCAAGGCGACGAUCUGUAGCCGGCCUGAGAGGGCGGUCGGCCACACUGACACUGACAUACGGGUCAGACUCCUACGGGAGGCAGCAGUCGGGAAUUUUGGGCAAUGGGCGAAAGCCUGACCCAGCAACGCCGCGUGAAGGAUGAAAUCCCUCGGGAUGUAAACUUCGCAAGAAUGGGAAGAAUUAGUAGGGGUUAAUACCCUCUAUGAUGACGGUACCAUUUGUAAGCUCCGGCUAACUCCGUGCCAGCAGCCGCGGUAAUACGGGGGGAGCAAGCGUUGUUCGGAUUUACUGGGCGUAAAGGGCGCGUAGGCGGUCAGCACAAGUCAGUUGUGAAAUCUCCGGGCUUAACUCGGAAAGGUCAACUGAUACUGUGCGACUAGAGUGCAGAAGGGGCAACUGGAAUUCUCGGUGUAGCGGUGAAAUGCGUAGAUAUCGAGAGGAACACCUGCGGCGAAAGCGGGUUGCUGGGCUGACACUGACGCUGAUGCGCGAAAGCCAGGGGAGCGAACGGGAUUAGAUACCCCGGUAGUCCUGGCCUUAAACGAUGGAUGCUUGGUGUCUGGAGUUUUAUAGUCUCCGGGUGCCGUAGCUAACGCGUUAAGCAUCCCGCCUGGGGAGUACGGUCGCAAGACUG